This 73-nucleotide transfer RNA is filed under the name Isosphaera pallida ATCC 43644. Its description in RNAcentral is "tRNA-Ala (TGC) (tRNA-Ala-TGC-1-1)". It matches the Rfam family "tRNA". From Rfam's summary of the family: Transfer RNA (tRNA) molecules are approximately 80 nucleotides in length. Lineage: Bacteria; Pseudomonadati; Planctomycetota; Planctomycetia; Isosphaerales; Isosphaeraceae. The record is from Rfam by way of RNAcentral.
GGGGACGUAGCUCAACUGGCCGAGCGUCGGCUUUGCAAGCCGAAGGUUGCGGGUUCGACUCCCGUCGUCUCCA